RNAcentral lists this ribosomal RNA (371 nucleotides) under uncultured organism. RNAcentral's name for it is "bacterial SSU rRNA". It matches the Rfam family "Bacterial small subunit ribosomal RNA", at positions 526 to 896 of the family's 1533-position model. The record is from RNAcentral.
CGUAGGUGGCAAGCGUUGUCCGGAAUUAUUGGGCGUAAAGCGCGCGCAGGCGGUCCUUUAAGUCCGAUGUGAAAGCCCACGGCUCAACCGUGGAGGGUCAUUGGAAACUGGGGGACUUGAGUACAGAAGAGAAGAGUGGAAUUCCACGUGUAGCGGUGAAAUGCGUAGAGAUGUGGAGGAACACCAGUGGCGAAGGCGACUCUUUGGUCUGUAACUGACGCUGAGGCGCGAAAGCGUGGGGAGCAAACAGGAUUAGAUACCCUGGUAGUCACGCUGUAAACGAUGAGUGCUAAGUGUUAGAGGGUUUCCGCCCUUUAGUGCUGCAGCUAACGCAUUAAGCACUCCGCCUGGGGAGUACGGCCGCAAGGCUG